CCAGACUCCUACGGGAGGCAGCAGUGAGGAAUAUUGGUCAAUGGCCGCAGGGCUGAACCAGCCAAGUCGCGUGAGGGAUGACGGUCCUAUGGAUUGUAAACCUCUUUUGUCAGGGAGCAAAGGGCGCCACGUGUGGCGCUUUGCGAGUACCUGAAGAAAAAGCAUCGGCUAACUCCGUGCCAGCAGCCGCGGUAAUACGGAGGAUGCGAGCGUUAUCCGGAUUUAUUGGGUUUAAAGGGUGCGCAGGCGGUGUGUAAAGUGCGGGGUAAAAGCCCGGGGCUCACCCCCGGGGAGCCGUUGAAACUGGCUGUCUUGAGAUGUCGAGAGGUAUGCGGAAUGCGCAGUGUAGCGGUGAAAUGCUUAGAUAUUGCGCAGAACUCCGAUUGCGAAGGCAGCAUACCGGCGGCGAUCUGACGCUGAGGCUCGAAGGCGCGGGUAUCGAACAGGAUUAGAUACCCUUGUACC
RNAcentral lists this ribosomal RNA (465 nucleotides) under uncultured bacterium. RNAcentral describes it as "bacterial SSU rRNA". It matches the Rfam family "Bacterial small subunit ribosomal RNA", at positions 331 to 796 of the family's 1533-position model. The record is from RNAcentral.